Molecule: non-coding RNA, 85 nt
Organism: Acanthosepion pharaonis
Lineage: Eukaryota; Metazoa; Mollusca; Cephalopoda; Sepiida; Sepiidae
Source: the annotation of a GenBank genome assembly
UCUCGAACGAUCACAGAAGUUAAGCAACGUCGAGCCUGGUCAGUACCUAGAUGGGUGACCUAUUGGGAAUACCAGGUACUGUAAG